Molecule: ribosomal RNA, 550 nt
Filed under: uncultured bacterium
Lineage: Bacteria
Description: bacterial SSU rRNA
Rfam family: Bacterial small subunit ribosomal RNA
Source: RNAcentral
UGGGGAAUAUUGGACAAUGGGCGCAAGCCUGAUCCAGCCAUACCGCGUGGGUGAAGAAGGCCUUCGGGUUGUAAAGCCCUUUUGUUGGGAAAGAAAUCCAGCCGGCUAAUACCUGGUUGGGAUGACGGUACCCAAAGAAUAAGCACCGGCUAACUUCGUGCCAGCAGCCGCGGUAAUACGAAGGGUGCAAGCGUUACUCGGAAUUACUGGGCGUAAAGCGUGCGUAGGUGGUCGUUUAAGUCCGUUGUGAAAGCCCUGGGCUCAACCUGGGAACUGCAGUGGAUACUGGGCGAUUAGAGUGUGGUAGAGGGUAGCGGAAUUCCUGGUGUAGCAGUGAAAUGCGUAGAGAUCAGGAGGAACAUCCAUGGCGAAGGCAGCUACCUGGACCAACACUGACACUGAGGCACGAAAGCGUGGGGAGCAAACAGGAUUAGAUACCCUGGUAGUCCACGCCCUAAACGAUGCGAACUGGAUGUUGGGUGCAAUUUGGCACGCAGUAUCGAAGCUAACGUGUUAAGUUCGCCGCCUGGGGAGUACGGUCGCAAGACUG